AAAAGGGAAGCGCUUGUGACCAGACUUGCGUCCGGUGAAUCACCCAGCUCUCGCGGCUGGGGCACUUCGCCGGCACAGGCCAGCAUCAGCUUGCCGUCGGGGACAAAAGCUUCAGGAACGUGGCUCCUCUCGGGGAGUGUUAUAGCCUGUUGCAUAAUACCCUUCGGCGGGCUGAGGUACGCGCUCCGCAAGGAUGCUGGCGUAAU
RNAcentral lists this ribosomal RNA (206 nucleotides) under Colletotrichum acutatum. Its description in RNAcentral is "partial 28S ribosomal RNA". Lineage: Eukaryota; Fungi; Ascomycota; Sordariomycetes; Glomerellales; Glomerellaceae. The record is from RNAcentral.